Molecule: ribosomal RNA, 278 nt
Filed under: Streptococcus salivarius
Lineage: Bacteria; Bacillati; Bacillota; Bacilli; Lactobacillales; Streptococcaceae
Description: partial 16S ribosomal RNA
Rfam family: Bacterial small subunit ribosomal RNA
Source: RNAcentral
UACGUAGGUCCCGAGCGUUGUCCGGAUUUAUUGGGCGUAAAGCGAGCGCAGGCGGUUUGAUAAGUCUGAAGUUAAAGGCUGUGGCUCAACCAUAGUUCGCUUUGGAAACUGUCAAACUUGAGUGCAGAAGGGGAGAGUGGAAUUCCAUGUGUAGCGGUGAAAUGCGUAGAUAUAUGGAGGAACACCGGUGGCGAAAGCGGCUCUCUGGUCUGUAACUGACGCUGAGGCUCGAAAGCGUGGGGAGCGAACAGGAGUAGAUACCCCGGUGCUGACUGACU